RNAcentral lists this ribosomal RNA (440 nucleotides) under uncultured bacterium. RNAcentral describes it as "partial 16S ribosomal RNA". It matches the Rfam family "Bacterial small subunit ribosomal RNA", at positions 338 to 795 of the family's 1533-position model. The record is from RNAcentral.
CCUACGGGAGGCAGCAGUGGGGAAUAUUGCACAAUGGGGGCAACCCUGAUGCAGCGAUGCCGCGUGAGUGAAGAAGUAUUUCGGUAUGUAAAGCUCUAUCAGCAGGGAAGAAAAUGACGGUACCUGACUAAGAAGCCCCGGCUAACUACGUGCCAGCAGCCGCGGUAAUACGUAGGGGGCAACCGUUAUCCGGAUUUACUGGGUGUAAAGGGAGCGUAGACGGCAGAGCAAGUCUGAAGUGAAAGCCCGGGGCCCAACUGCGGGACUGCUUUGGAAACUGCCCGGCUAGAGUGCUGGAGAGGUAAGCGGAAUUCCUAGUGUAGCGGUGAAAUGCGUAGAUAUUAGGAGGAACACCAGUGGCGAAGGCGGCUUACUGGACAGUAACUGACGUUGAGGCUCGAAAGCGUGGGGAGCAAACAGGAUUAGAUACCCCAGUAGUC